GGCUCCGUUUCAGUAUUUUCUUUUUUCUCCUUCUCUGAGUUGGGGGGGGGCGUGUUGAGAAAAACUGGAUAUUUAUUUUGGUCGUCUUCUUUCCAUUCGCAGAACCAAUUAUACUUUGGUACAUGAUCCAGAGUAACUGUGUGUAGCCGUCUUCCGUCUGGCAAAUGAUGAGUUGAUUAUUUUCAUGACCCUUUAAAGACAGCUCAUUGAUGGGAAGGUUCAGCCCCCCAUCGUCCUGUUUUUAAACUUUUGCUCUCCUGAAAUCGGUUGAUGGUAUCAGGAAUGCGGCGUCCAGUUCCUGCGUGCAGCUUGGCUCUUGUGUGUUCCGAGGAAAAUACAUUUAAGGUUUUUCAACUGAAAUCUCAUAUGGACUGAAGUCCAGAUCCAGUGGCCUCUGAGGGACCUACACAGUCUCAUGGCUUCUGUCACUCGGAGGAGGCUUAGGUAGUCCCCAAACCAUGGUGUUUUCUAAAAUAUUAGGAAAAUCGGAAAUCAGGACUCAGUUUUUUCCCCUCUGCAGAUUCCUGCCCGCUCUGGAAUUAUUUUCCUCCACCAUUCAAAGGUGUCUGCUGAGAGGUCAGAGUGUUGCAGAAUGCGUGCCUUCAUCUCAGAAUUGUUCAUCACAGGUGGAUCCCGUGCGUCUGCUGUAGACCAGUCAUCUUCGUAGCCAGCGCCGUGCCACACCGCGCCCCCUUUAGUCUUGAGUGCCCUUCCUGCAUUUAUUGGUGUAUUAAAAUGACUGAAUAUGAACAUUAAGGACUCCAUGAACCCGGGCUAAUGGGAGACGGUAGCGAGAAUGAAAAAAGAUCCACCAAAGGACAUCUAGGGGGGAGGGUGCUUGGGGGGGAGGGCAAUGACUAAUGAAGCUAAUUAGAAGAGGCAUCACGAAUCUGCUUUCUACCCUCAUUAACAAUUAGCAGGGCACCGGCCGGAGUGUGAGCCCUGUUUUACUCUUAACUACAUUCUGUUUGCUCUUUGUAUAUUUAAGUGUUGUAAUGAGAUGUGUUUCAAUCAAACCUGAACAUGAGUUAAAAAGGAAAGAGACGUGGCUUUUGUGAUAGUUC
This 1064-nucleotide long non-coding RNA is filed under the name Rattus norvegicus (Norway rat). RNAcentral's name for it is "long non-coding RNA NONRATT016920". Lineage: Eukaryota; Metazoa; Chordata; Mammalia; Rodentia; Muridae. The record is from RNAcentral.